Molecule: ribosomal RNA, 701 nt
Filed under: Actinomycetes bacterium
Lineage: Bacteria; Bacillati; Actinomycetota; Actinomycetes
Description: bacterial SSU rRNA
Rfam family: Bacterial small subunit ribosomal RNA
Source: RNAcentral
AUGGCUCAGGACGAACGCUGGCGGCGUGCCUAACACAUGCAAGUCGAGCGGGAUCCAUCCAGUAGCAAUACUGGUGAAGAUCUAGCGGCGAACGGGUGAGUAACACGUGAGAAACCUGCCCCGGACUCUGGGAUAACACGAGGAAACUCGUGCUAAUACCGGAUACCUUCUUUUGGUCGCAUGGCCAGCUGAAGAAAGAUUUAUCGGUUUGGGAGGGUCUCGCGGCCUAUCAGCUAGUUGGCGGGGUAACGGCCCACCAAGGCAUCGACGGGUAGCUGGUCUGAGAGGACGAUCAGCCACACUGGGACUGAGACACGGCCCAGACUCCUACGGGAGGCAGCAGUGGGGAAUCUUGCGCAAUGGGCGAAAGCCUGACGCAGCAACGCCGCGUGCGGGAUGAAGGCCUUCGGGUUGUAAACCGCUUUCAGCAGGGAAGAAAUUGACGGUACCUGCAGAAGAAGCCCCGGCCAACUACGUGCCAGCAGCCGCGGUAACACGUAGGGGGCGAGCGUUGUCCGGAUUUAUUGGGCGUAAAGAGCUCGUAGGCGGUUCGGUAAGUCGGGUGUGAAACCUCCAGGCUCAACCUGGAGACGCCACCUGAUACUGCUGUGACUAGAGUCCGGUAGGGGAGUGUGGAACUCCUGGUGUAGCGGUGAAAUGCGCAGAUAUCAGGAAGAACACCAGCGGCGAAGGCGGCACUC